AGCCGGCCUUGUUUGGUUCAAUCAUAUAUACAUAAUAUUUAUGUGAUCCAUAGUAUGAUUUAUACUAUAAAAUGAUUUAUGCUUUCAUAUGAUGAUAUGAAAUAAUACAUAUAUCAUUCACCACUUCAUCAUCUUGACAUAAGGUUGUCCUAGCAUAACGGGGUUAUGCUGCAAGGUUGUCCUAGGAUGAUGAAUGUCCAUAUGUUACACUUGCACAUGUAGAAAAUUGUAAUGUUGAUACAUAAAUGGGUAUUAUGUAGUUAGAAUGUGCAUGAGACCAAAUAAAAGCCC
Molecule: long non-coding RNA, 291 nt
Filed under: Elaeis guineensis (African oil palm)
Lineage: Eukaryota; Viridiplantae; Streptophyta; Magnoliopsida; Arecales; Arecaceae
Description: long non-coding RNA (EGUI_LNC065313)
Source: RNAcentral